UAACACAUGCAAGUCGAGCGGGGACAUGCGACGGAUAGGAAGAUUCGGUUGGAAUUGAAGAUGCAUUGUUCUAGCGGCGGACGGGUGAGUAACGCGUGAGCAACCUGUCCCUUACAGGGGGAUAACACAGCGAAAGUUGUACUAAUACCGCAUGAGACCACGGGAGGACAUCCUCCAGGGGUCAAAAGGAGGAAUCCGGUAAGGGGUGGGCUCGCGUCCGAUUAGAUAGUUGGUGAGGUAACGGCCCACCAAGUCGACGAUCGGUAGCCGACCUGAGAGGGUGAUCGGCCACAUUGGGACUGAGACACGGCCCAAACUCCUACGGGAGGCAGCAGUGGGGAAUAUUGGGCAAAUGGGGGAAACCCUGACCCAGCAACGCCGCGUGAGGGAAGAAGGUUUUCGGAUCGUAAACCUCUGUCCUUGGUGAAGAGGAAGAGACGGUAGCCAAGGAGGAAGCCCCGGCUAACUACGUGCCAGCCGCCGC
Molecule: ribosomal RNA, 484 nt
Filed under: uncultured bacterium
Lineage: Bacteria
Description: bacterial SSU rRNA
Rfam family: Bacterial small subunit ribosomal RNA
Source: RNAcentral